UACGUAGGGGGCGAGCGUUGUCCGGAUUCAUUGGGCGUAAAGAGCUCGUAGGCGGUUUGGCAAGUCGGGUGUGAAAUCUCUGGGCUCAACUCAGAGAGGCCACUCGAUACUGCUAUGACUAGAGUCCGGUAGGGGACCAUGGAAUUCCUGGUGUAGCGGUGAAAUGCGCAGAUAUCAGGAAGAACACCAACGGCGAAGGCAGCUCGCUGGGACGGAACUGACGCUAAGGCGCGAAAGCGUGGGGAGCGAACAGG
RNAcentral lists this ribosomal RNA (254 nucleotides) under uncultured bacterium. RNAcentral's name for it is "partial 16S ribosomal RNA". It matches the Rfam family "Bacterial small subunit ribosomal RNA", at positions 524 to 776 of the family's 1533-position model. The record is from RNAcentral.